AACGUAGGAGGCGAGCGUUAUCCGGAUUCAUUGGGCGUAAAGCGUGCGUAGGCGGUUGGGUAAGUCGGACGUUAAAGCCCCUGGCUCAACUAGGGGAGGUCGUUCGAUACUGCUUGGCUUGAGGAUGAGAGAGGAAAGCGGAAUUCCCGGUGUAGCGGUGGAAUGCGUAGAGAUCGGGAGGAACACCAGUGGCGAAAGCGGCUUUCUGGCUCAUUACUGACGCUGAGUGCACGAAAGCGUGGGGAGCAAACGGG
Molecule: ribosomal RNA, 254 nt
Filed under: uncultured bacterium
Lineage: Bacteria
Description: partial 16S ribosomal RNA
Rfam family: Bacterial small subunit ribosomal RNA
Source: RNAcentral